UACGGGGGGGCAAGCGUUGUUCGGAAUUACUGGGCGUAAAGGGCGCGUAGGCGGUUUGCUAAGUUGGAUGUGAAAACUCUGGGCUUAACCCAGAGCCUGCAUCCAAAACUGGCAAACUUGAGUACUGGAGGGGAAAGCGGAAUUCCUGGUGUAGCGGUGAAAUGCGUAGAUAUCAGGAGGAACACCGGUGGCGAAGGCGGCUUUCUGGACAGUAACUGACGCUGAGGCGCGAAAGCUAGGGGAGCAAACAGG
This 252-nucleotide ribosomal RNA is filed under the name uncultured bacterium. RNAcentral's name for it is "partial 16S ribosomal RNA". It matches the Rfam family "Bacterial small subunit ribosomal RNA", at positions 524 to 776 of the family's 1533-position model. The record is from RNAcentral.